Molecule: ribosomal RNA, 549 nt
Filed under: uncultured Glomeromycotina
Lineage: Eukaryota; Fungi; Glomeromycota
Description: SSU rRNA
Rfam family: Eukaryotic small subunit ribosomal RNA
Source: RNAcentral
UUGGAGGGCAAGUCUGGUGCCAGCAGCCGCGGUAAUUCCAGCUCCAAUAGCGUAUAUUAAAGUUGUUGCAGUUAAAAAGCUCGUAGUUGAAUUUCGGGAUCAAUACGUCGGUCGUGCCUCUGGUAUGAACUGGUGUUAUUGAUUCCUCCUUUCUGAUAAACCAUGAUGUCAUUAAUUUGGUGUUGUGGGGAGUCAGGACUGUUACUUUGAAAAAAUUAGAGUGUUUAAAGCAGGCCUACGCUUGAAUACAUUAGCAUGGAAUAAUGAAAUAGGACGUUCGAACCUAUUUUGUUGGUUUCUAGGAUCAACGUAAUGAUUAAUAGGGAUAGUUGGGGGCAUUAGUAUUCAAUUGUCAGAGGUGAAAUUCUUGGACUUAUUGAAGACUAACUACUGCGAAAGCAUUUGCCAAGGAUGUUUCCAUUAAUCAAGAACGAAAGUUAGGGGAUCGAAGACGAUCAGAUACCGUCGUAGUCUUAACCAUAAACUAUGCCGACUAGGGAUCGGAUGAUGUUAAUUUUUUAAUGACUCAUUCGGCGCCUUACGGGAAAC